GAAAGAAAUGAAUGUGGUCAGCAUUGCUUUUUCUGUAUUCAGCCUGGGGGUCCAAUAUCAGGAUUCAAAAACGUCUACCAGAGGCAUGAGUUUCACCUGAGCCACCUGUCUUAGAAUUUUUUUCCUAACAACCCACACCUACACCACCAGGCCAGCUCUACUAUUUUGCCCAGGCAAGGUCUGUGCACCAUGUGUAUACCUGGGACCUACAGAGAGCAGAAGAGAAUACCAAAUUCCCUGGCACUGGAGUUUAGGAUGUUUGUGAACUACCAUAUGGGUGAUGGAAACUGAACCUGGGUCCUCUGCAAGAGCAGUACAUGAACUUCACUGCUGAGCCAUCUCUUCAUUCAUGAUGCAUUAUCUUUCAGAAGGGAUUUGGAAGAAUGCUGUGAAGGGGGCAACACCAUAAACAGGGAGCUCACCUGGAGCUCAAGCUGGAACACACAGUCAGGGCAAUCAUUCCAAGGUUGAAAAGAUAAACAGAGUGUUGUCAUGCCAUCCAAACCCACUUUUAUCUACAGUUUCCCAAAAUACCCCCCAAAUCCAGGAAUUUUUGGAUGUCAAACUUGUAUUUUGACAAAUGAAGCCACAGAGACUUAUUUUUCAGAUAUUUUGCCAUCACUAGGAGAAAAUUCCUUGGAAGACUUUAGGGAAUAGAGUCUAAGAACCAAGUCUUCAUGCUCCUUUUUCAUGGAGGGGGAGCAUGUGUAUUUAUUUGCAUGUGUAUGAGUAUGGAUGUGUGUGUACGGGCAUAAGUGUAUGGCUGUGUGUAUG
Molecule: long non-coding RNA, 774 nt
Organism: Arvicola amphibius (Eurasian water vole)
Lineage: Eukaryota; Metazoa; Chordata; Mammalia; Rodentia; Cricetidae
Exons: 3
Source: RefSeq, a predicted model, not a curated record